This is a long non-coding RNA of Physella acuta, 366 nucleotides long. RefSeq lists it as uncharacterized. Lineage: Eukaryota; Metazoa; Mollusca; Gastropoda; Physidae. The record is from RefSeq and is a predicted model, not a curated record.
CUUUACUGUCACUCUUACAUUUUUGCGUUUUGCGUGUAUCAUUGCUGUCAGUUUGUGUUAUUUUACAGAGUAAGUUCUGCCAUAUGCUGUGUUUUUCGUGAAUUUAAAUUGGAAGACAAAGAAUUUAGCACGAGUAAAUAUUAGGUUGCGGGCGACUUAAUUCUAAAAUUGUUCCUUGUUGGAGGUCGAAUGCGUUUGCUCCCAAGGUUGCUAAGCAACAAGUGACAUUCAAGCCAGGAGUAUAAAAGGGCUCUUCAAGGAUUGCUGUGUGAGCUAAAUUCGUUUUGGCUUCUUUUCAAAUAUUUUUUUUAAGCUUGGAGUUUAUUUUAUUUAUCAAUGUAAUAUCUAAACGACAAACAUCGAAAU